CCCUCUGGAUCAGAGAAUAAAAGUUUUCACCUGGGGGUGAUAAUCCAGAAAGAGUUGGGACGACUGAAAAAUAUUCCACCAAAGGAAUUAGAGAAUGCUAAGGCUCCUCAGCAGUGCAAACCUGGUAACAAGAGCAGUAUUUCUGUAAUGACAGAAGAGGCUGUUAAAUUGGCAAUGCAGAAUAUUGAAAAAGAAAUUACAGCAGUCACGAAGCAGAUCUCCAAGUAAUAAUCUAAUUGAUUUUCUUUCAUUUAUGGUUUAAGACUGUGAUAAAGUGGGAACAAUUUUUUAAUGAGUGCCUGUAAAAUCAAGUGAGAUGCAUUUAUAAUGCCCAGAUGACUUGCAUAUUAUGUUGAGUCUUUCAGCAGAAGUCAUCAAGUUAAAAAGUAGUUUUGUUCUUACAAAAUUGCUUUCAGA
This is a non-coding RNA of Penaeus vannamei (Pacific white shrimp), 417 nucleotides long. The record is from RefSeq and is a predicted model, not a curated record. NCBI's taxonomy places the organism in Eukaryota, Metazoa, Arthropoda, Malacostraca, Decapoda, Penaeidae.